Long non-coding RNA from Dermacentor silvarum, 1793 nucleotides. RefSeq lists it as uncharacterized. The transcript has 7 exons. The record is from RefSeq and is a predicted model, not a curated record. Lineage: Eukaryota; Metazoa; Arthropoda; Arachnida; Ixodida; Ixodidae.
GCGGCGUUGCAUCGAACGCGCUGCGGCGUUACAUCGAACGCGUGGCAGCGUUGCAUCGAACGCGCACAGGUGCAAGACGGCGCCGCGAUUGUGAUUGGUGGACAUGAGUGUUUGUUCUGCCAAUUGGUUCUGCGCAUGCGCUAGACUGUUCUUUGGCUAUAUAUUCCCGCGUUCUUUGGUUGCUGGGACGCUGCCAGUACGCAGCCGACGGAAUAGAGACGUUUCUCAAGUACGUCUCGGCGUCCGUCACAACAAACUGGCGACGAGGAUAGGAUACGGCAAGAUCCGCUGAAGAUGGCUACGUCGGGCGCUAACUUUAGCAAGCUCCCGGAGUUCGACCCGGACACCGGGGAACUUCGACGUCUACCUCGUGCGUCUGGAGUGCUUCAUCGCCGCCAACGACAUUGCAGGAGAACAGAGGCUGCUGGUCUUCUUGACUACCAUUGGCGACAAUGGUAGUCAAGAAGAAGUAGUACAAGGCUUACGGGACGCUCAGGAGCUUGCUUCUUCCAAAGACGCCCGCCCACCAAGGCGACAUUCGAGGACGCCGUUGGUGCACCGAAAAAGCACUACACUCUCAAGAGUUCCGUGGUGACGGAAAGGUAUCGCUUCCAUGAACGAAAACAAAGAGAAGCAUGAAAGCGUGUCGGACUUCAUCGUGGGUCUCAAGAAAUUGGCAGCGACGUGCGCGUUCGGCGCGUUUCUAGAGAAAGCUCUGCGGGACCGACUAAUCGCCGGCCUUCAAACAUAGGCUAUACGCUGCCGACUCUUAACCACGCCGGACGCUCAACUGACCUGGAAACGCACCUGCACCAUCGCUGUGGCUAUGGCAGCCGCGACGAAAGACACGCAGCAAAUAAUCUCGCAGUUCUCGCUGCGGGCGUCUCCGAACUUCACUGGCAAAGACAGAAAGUAGGACGUCUAUAAGCAAGUGCUGGCAAAAACUCCAGGAGCAGCGGAUUCGCGAAGGCUGAAAAGACAGCGUCGCAAGGGACUUAAGCUUCGUGUCAUCGCCGUGCGGGACACCAUGCGCCAUUUCAUGUCAUCUACGUCCACGAUCGCCAUUUUGUGGUGAACGUGGAUAACGUCAACCGUGCCGAUCUAGCGAGUCGGCACCUCGAGCCAAUUGAACAGCCCGAAGUGCCCGUCAUGACGGAUGCCAACCCAAGGACAUCAGUUUCAAGCCAGUUGUAACGGCCAUCUUCUGGCCACGACUCGGAAGAUCGCGAACAUCAACCAGGGAACGCGGAACCACGGCUUCGAGAUGAUCCGUAUACAUGACACUCAUUUUCUGGUGAAUGUUGAAAACGUGAACCAAGCGAAUUUCACCAGCCGGCAUUUGGGACCAAUCGGACAACCUGAAAUAGCCGUCAUGACGGAUGCCAACCCAAGGACAUCAGUUUCAAGCCAGUUGUAACGGCCAUCUUCUGGCCACGACUCGGAAGAUCGCGAACAUCAACCAGGGAACGCGGAACCACGGCUUCGAGAUGAUCCGUAUACAUGACACUCAUUUUCUGGUGAAUGUUGAAAACGUGAACCAAGCGAAUUUCACCAGCCGGCAUUUGGGACCAAUCGGACAACCUGAAAUAGCCGUCAUGACGGGGUUGCAAGGCUGCAAGAUACAUGUGGAAAUGGAGCACCGAACCGUGGUGUGUCGACACAGUGGACGGGAAACGCACAUGACGUGCCUAACGGCAACUUGUGUUGGACUCCUCCUGGACAUUGUUCGACGAGUGCUUCAUUACGUAAUUCAUGCAUUGGUAGGAUAGCCCCAUCAAUAAACAUGUACACCA